GACGAACGCUGGCGGCGUGCCUAACACAUGCAAGUCGAACGAGGUCCAUCCGGUGGCAACACUGGUGAAGACCUAGUGGCGAACGGGUGAGUAACACGUGAGCAACCUGCCUCGAAGACUGGGAUAACCCCGGGAAACCGGAGCUAAUACCGGAUAUCCCCACCGGGUCGCAUGGCCUGGUGAGGAAAUGGAUUCCGCUUUGAGAGGGGCUCGCGGCCUAUCAGCUUGAUGGUGGGGUAACGGCCUACCAUGGCACCGACGGGUAGCUGGUCUGAGA
Molecule: ribosomal RNA, 277 nt
Filed under: uncultured bacterium
Lineage: Bacteria
Description: partial 16S ribosomal RNA
Rfam family: Bacterial small subunit ribosomal RNA
Source: RNAcentral